Molecule: ribosomal RNA, 233 nt
Filed under: uncultured bacterium
Lineage: Bacteria
Description: partial 16S ribosomal RNA
Rfam family: Bacterial small subunit ribosomal RNA
Source: RNAcentral
GAUCAUGGCUCAGGAUUAACGCUAGCGACAGGCCUAACACAUGCAAGUCGAGGGGCAGCGGAGAGGUAGCAAUACCUUUGCCGGCGACCGGCGCAUGGGUGAGUAACACGUAUGCAAUCCACCUGUAACAGGGGGAUAACCCGGAGAAAUCCGGACUAAUACCCCAUAAUAUGGGCGUUCCGCAUGGAGAGCUCAUUAAAGAGAGCAAUUUUGGUUACAGACGAGCAUGCGCU